Bacteroides caccae CAG:21 is the source of this 207-nucleotide non-coding RNA. The record is from Rfam. Lineage: Bacteria; Pseudomonadati; Bacteroidota; Bacteroidia; Bacteroidales; Bacteroidaceae.
CUAUCUUUGUCGCGCAUCGGUUUGCAACUCUCACAUACGAGGGAAGCGAUUAAAAGGGAAUCAGGUGUAAAUCCUGAACAGUCCCGCUGCUGUAAGUUCCACACAUUACGUUGCGAGCAACCUACUUUUAGCCACUGGAAAGAAACUUCCGGGAAGGCGCCCGCAACAGGAACAAGUCAGAAGACCUGCCGUGCAACCAAUUUCACU